RNAcentral lists this long non-coding RNA (677 nucleotides) under Homo sapiens (human). RNAcentral describes it as "long non-coding RNA NONHSAT176677.1". Lineage: Eukaryota; Metazoa; Chordata; Mammalia; Primates; Hominidae. The record is from RNAcentral.
GGAGCAGGAGCUGGAUCCGGCUUCCGGAAGGAGCUGGUGAGCAGGCUGCUGCACCUGCACUUCAAGGAUGACAAGACCAAAGCAGCAGUCCGCGGCGUGCGGCAGGCCCAGGCAGAAGACGCGCUCCGUGUGGACGUGGACCAGCUGGAGAAGGUGCUUCCGCAGCUGCUCCUGGACUUCUAGGGAUCUCAGCCGUGGCUGAGGCCACCCCCAGAGGAGCCCCUGGUCCACAGAAGCAGGCCUUGUGUUUCCAGCGGCCUCUGAUAAGAGGCAGGGAAGGACCUGAAGGAUUUGGAGUUGAUUCAAACAAGAUCUCUGGGAGUCUCCAGCCUGUGCAGAAGGGGCAGGACUGCAGUGCACUGCGGGCCUUGGAGUGUCCAGUGGGGACACUGGUGUGGGAAGGGGCAGCACCUGGGGAGUCCCUGCCUCUCCUCCCUGGGACAAUAGUGUGCAUGCCACCCGGGGUCCUACAGGCAGGUGCUGGGAAAGGCCUGGCCAGCAGGUAGCCUGUGUGUUUGACAAACAGCAGCUGGCAGCGCUGCCUCCUGCCCACAUUCCUGCCACCCGACAUCAAAGCUGGCGUGUGACCUUUCCAGCCAUGCGAUAUUCCCCUUGGAAGAUGCUUCCCCAGGCUAUAAAUUUGUUCUCACAAAGCAACAUCAAUAAAUCAAAACUGU